CCAAUAACUGGUGUCGCAACACCAAAUGUCACAAAAUAUUUAUUCCACCAGUUUUGUGACAUUUGGUGUUGCAACAUCAUUUAUUGG
This is a non-coding RNA of Pelobates cultripes (western spadefoot toad), 87 nucleotides long. Lineage: Eukaryota; Metazoa; Chordata; Amphibia; Anura; Pelobatidae. The record is from the annotation of a GenBank genome assembly.